GUAGGUGGCAAGCGUUGUCCGGAAUUAUUGGGCGUAAAGCGCGCGCAGGCGGUCCUUUAAGUCUGAUGUGAAAGCCCACGGCUCAACCGUGGAGGGUCAUUGGAAACUGGGGGACUUGAGUACAGAAGAGGAAAGCGGAAUUCCAAGUGUAGCGGUGAAAUGCGUAGAGAUUUGGAGGAACACCAGCGGCGAAGGCGGCUUUCUGGUCUGUAACUGACGCUGAGGCGCGAAAGCGUGGGGAGCAAACAGGAUUAGAUACCCUGGUAGUCCACGCCGUAAACGAUGAGUGCUAAGUGUUAGGGGGUUUCCGCCCCCCUUAGUGCUGCAGCUAACGCAUUAAGCACUCCGCCUGGGAGUACGGCCGCAAGGCUG
This 372-nucleotide ribosomal RNA is filed under the name uncultured organism. RNAcentral's name for it is "partial 16S ribosomal RNA". It matches the Rfam family "Bacterial small subunit ribosomal RNA", at positions 527 to 896 of the family's 1533-position model. The record is from RNAcentral.